GUGCACCAGGCGCGAAUCCUCCGCAAUGCGGGAAACCGUGACGGGGUCACCCCGAGUGCCACCCGAUGAGGGUGGCUUUUCCCCGGUCUAAAAAGCCGGGGGCAAUAAGCGGGGGGCAAGUCUGGUGUCAGCCGCCGCGGUAAUACCAGCCCCGCGAGUGGUCGGGACGUUUAUUGGGCCUAAAAGCGUCCGUAGCCGGCUCGGUAAGUCCCUCCUUAAAUCCACGGGCUCAACCCGUGGGCUGGGAGGGAUACUGCCGGGCUAGGGGGCGGGAGAGGCCGAGGGUACUCCCGGGGUAGGGGCGAAAUCCGUUAAUCCCGGGAGGACCACCAGUGGCGAAGGCGCUCGGCUGGAACGCGCCCGACGGUGAGGGACGAAAGCUGGGGGAGCAAAGGGGAUUAGAUACCCGUGUAGU
This 415-nucleotide ribosomal RNA is filed under the name uncultured microorganism. Its description in RNAcentral is "bacterial SSU rRNA". It matches the Rfam family "Archaeal small subunit ribosomal RNA", at positions 330 to 745 of the family's 1478-position model. The record is from RNAcentral.